GGGACAUAUACGAAGACUGGGUCAGCAUGUGCCAUUUGACCUGCGGCAUCGAUAUAGGCUGACCCAGGAUUCAGACGAAGAGGCAUCUGAUAAUGUUUUAAUUGUUGGGUACCGGUCAGUUGUCGGGUUAAUAUGGGGCUACGAGGAGGGGCGUCAGUUAAAGGUUCCGGUCGAGAGGUAAUAGGGCAUGAGGAUGUGGGAACUUGAUUUUGGGAAAAGUUACUGAAUAGUAUACUC
This is a non-coding RNA of Pelobates cultripes (western spadefoot toad), 237 nucleotides long. The record is from the annotation of a GenBank genome assembly. Lineage: Eukaryota; Metazoa; Chordata; Amphibia; Anura; Pelobatidae.